This 318-nucleotide ribosomal RNA is filed under the name uncultured Paracercomonas. RNAcentral describes it as "SSU rRNA". The stretch from base 101 to 318 matches the Rfam family "Eukaryotic small subunit ribosomal RNA", at positions 736 to 955 of the family's 1831-position model. Lineage: Eukaryota; Cercozoa; Cercomonadida; Cercomonadidae. The record is from RNAcentral.
GAUUUCUGGUACGAUGCGCUUGGCCCGCAUGACUCUGUUAUGCGCGUGUCGGUGUGCGUCUGCCAUCCUUCCAGUAACGGUCUGCUCUUAACUGGGCGGGUCGCGAUCUGGAUCGUUUACUUUGAAAAAAUUAGAGUGUUUAAAGCAAGCUUGCGCUGUGAAUACAUUAGCAUGGAAUAAUAAUUUAGGACUUUAUCCCUAUUUUAUUGGUUUCUAGGAAUGAAGUAAUGAUUGAUAGGGAUAGUUGGGGGUGCUAGUAUUCAGCGGCCAGAGGUGAAAUUCUUGGAUUCGCUGAAGACUAACUAAUGCGAAAGCAUU